AAGCGCUUGUGACCAGACUUGGGCUUGGUUGAUCAUCCAGGGUUCUCCCCGGUGCACUCUUCCAGUCCAGGCCAGCAUCAGUUCGCCGCGGGGGACAAAAGCUUCGGGAAUGUGGCUCCCUCGGGAGUGUUAUAGCCCAUUGUGUAAUACCCUGUGGUGGACUGAGGUUCGCGCAUCUGCAAGGAUGCUGGCGUAAUGGUCAUCAGCGA
Molecule: ribosomal RNA, 209 nt
Filed under: Dematiocladium celtidicola
Lineage: Eukaryota; Fungi; Ascomycota; Sordariomycetes; Hypocreales; Nectriaceae
Description: partial large subunit ribosomal RNA
Source: RNAcentral